UGUUAAGAUGACAGAAUAUUGUGAAGGACUUAAGAUUCUUUUAUGAAAAUUAUAUGGAUUUUCUCUUAAUAA
RNAcentral lists this transfer RNA (72 nucleotides) under Octopus cyanea. RNAcentral's name for it is "tRNA-Leu". The record is from RNAcentral. Lineage: Eukaryota; Metazoa; Mollusca; Cephalopoda; Octopoda; Octopodidae.